Molecule: ribosomal RNA, 321 nt
Filed under: uncultured eukaryote
Lineage: Eukaryota
Description: partial 18S ribosomal RNA
Rfam family: Eukaryotic small subunit ribosomal RNA
Source: RNAcentral
CCCUUAGAUGUCCGGGGCCGCACGCGCGCUACAAUGGAUGAAUCAACGCGUCAUCCUGGCCCGAAAGGGUUGGGGAACCGCUGAACCUCAUCCGUGGUUGGGAUUGGGGUUUGUAAUUAUUCCCCAUGAACUAGGAAUUCCCAGUAAGCGCGAGUCAUAAGCUCGCGUUGAUUACGUCCCUGCCCUUUGUACACACCGCCCGUCGCUACUACCGAUCGAAGAGUUAGGUGAAUUGUUUUGAUCGAUAAGAUUUGACUAUGGUCAACUCUCGUUGUGAAAUUCUGUGAAUCUGACUGUUUAGAGGAAGGAAAAGUCGUAACA